This 459-nucleotide ribosomal RNA is filed under the name uncultured bacterium. RNAcentral's name for it is "partial 16S ribosomal RNA". It matches the Rfam family "Bacterial small subunit ribosomal RNA", at positions 338 to 795 of the family's 1533-position model. The record is from RNAcentral.
CCUACGGGAGGCAGCAGUGAGGAAUAUUGGUCAAUGGGCGCGAGCCUGAACCAGCCAAGUCGCGUGAGGGAAGACGGUCCUAUGGAUUGUAAACCUCUUUUGUCGGGGAGCAAAAGACGCCACGCGUGGCGUUACGAGAGUACCCGAAGAAAAAGCAUCGGCUAACUCCGUGCCAGCAGCCGCGGUAAAACGGAGGAUGCGAGCGUUAUCCGGAUUGAGUGGGUUUAAAGGGUGCGCAGGAGGAAGAUCAAGACAGCGGUAAAAUUGAGAGGCUCAACCUCUUCGAGCCGUUGAAACUGGUUUUCUUGAGUGAGUGAGAAGUAUGCGGAAUGCGUGGUGUAGCGGUGAAAUGCAUAGAUAUCACGCAGAACUCCGAUUGCGAAGGCAGCAUACCGGCGCUCAACUGACGCUCAUGCACGAAAGUGUGGGUAUCGAACAGGAUUAGAUACCCUGGUAGUC